Molecule: ribosomal RNA, 476 nt
Filed under: uncultured bacterium
Lineage: Bacteria
Description: bacterial SSU rRNA
Rfam family: Bacterial small subunit ribosomal RNA
Source: RNAcentral
CAGGACGACGCUGGCGGCGCGCCUAACACAUGCAAGUCGAACGGACUUAGAGAGCUUGCUCUUAAGUUAGUGGCGGACGGGUGAGUAACACGUGAGCAACCUGCCUUUCAGAGGGGGACAACAGUUGGAAACGACUGCUAAUACCGCAUAAGACCACGGGAUGGCAUCAUUCUGCGGUCAAAGAUUUAUCGCUGAAAGAUGGGCUCGCGUCCGAUUAGAUAGUUGGUGAGGUAACGGCCCACCAAGUCGACGAUCGGUAGCCGGACUGAGAGGUUGAACGGCCACAUUGGGACUGAGACACGGCCCAGACUCCUACGGGAGGCAGCAGUGGGGGAUAUUGGACAAUGGGGGGCCAACCCUGAUCCAGCGACGCCGCGUGAGGGAAGAAGGUUUUCGGAUUGUAAACCUCUGUUGACAGGGAAGAAAAUGACGGUACCUGUUUAGAAAGCCACGGCUAACUACGUGCCAGCCGCCGC